AGGACGAACGCUGGCGGCGUGCUUAACACAUGCAAGUCGAGCGGAAAGGCCCUUCGGGGUACUCGAGCGGCGAACGGGUGAGUAACACGUGAGUAACCUGCCCUUGGCUUUGGGAUAACCCUCGGAAACGGGGGCUAAUACCGGAUAUUCACAUUGCGUGGCAUCACGUGGUGUGGAAAGUUUUUCGGCCAGGGAUGGGCUCGCGGCCUAUCAGCUUGUUGGUGGGGUAAUGGCCUACCAAGGCGACGACGGGUAGCCGGCCUGAGAGGGCGACCGGCCACACUGGGACUGAGACACGGCCCAGACUCCUACGGGAGGCAGCAGUGGGAAUAUUGCACAAUGGGCGGAAGCCUGAUGCAGCGACGCCGCGUGAGGGAUGACGGCCUUCGGGUUGUAAACCUCUUUCAGCAGGGACGAAGCGCAAGUGACGGUACCUGCAGAGAAGCGCCGGCCACUACGCGCAGCAGCCGC
RNAcentral lists this ribosomal RNA (471 nucleotides) under uncultured bacterium. Its description in RNAcentral is "SSU rRNA". It matches the Rfam family "Bacterial small subunit ribosomal RNA", at positions 26 to 518 of the family's 1533-position model. The record is from RNAcentral.